UGUCUGGGCAGAGUGUUGUUUGAGUGAUGUGAUCAGGGAACUCUAGAUGUUUUCAAUAUCAACUCCCAGCUGCCAGUGUGGGGCUGUGGAGAGUUGGCAUGGUGUUGUCUGUGGUAGUGAAUUGGACUUCUCUCUAGCUUUGAGAAAAAGGUUUUCUUCUGGGGUGAUGUUUAUUGGACUUGUGGGUUGUGGUGGUCACUUCUGCAAUUGCCUUCAGCACCUGGUCAUGGCGCCAACGGUAGCAACCAUCAGCCAAGUCUUGAGACAGCUGCAGAGGAGCCUCUUCCUCUCCCAUCACAAAGAGGGCAGGAAGGCGUUCCAUUCUCACCCAUGUGUGAAGGUUUGCUGGACCUGUUAAGGUCCAUUAGCCUCCACCUCUACCUCCAUCAUUGGUCCAAGAAGCUGACAAUGCUGGUCUACCUGUUCCUACUGUCUCUCCAGUUCUAUCUCACAAAGGCUCCGCGCUCUAUUGGACUCCUCCAAUCACACGCACACACUUGCCCACUGAAAUUUUAUCGUGCACGUAGCCGACCAAUAGGACGUUGCUACUGAUACGUGGGUGAUGUAUAAAUAGCAGUGUCCCUACUGCCUCAGCAUUAGUGAUGGCAAGUUCGAGUCUUUUGACAGAUUUGUUCAUUCAAAUCUCGUUUAUUAAAAUGAACAAAUUCUUUUUUGAGUCAUUUCAUUCAUUUGAACUAGGCUGGUUAUUGCGGCGCUGCAGCCCUCUAGUGGGCGAUUAAAAAACAACGCCGUUCUGAAACACGUAAGGCUGCCUAGCUUGCUAUCU
Long non-coding RNA from Micropterus salmoides (largemouth bass), 787 nucleotides. RefSeq lists it as uncharacterized. NCBI's taxonomy places the organism in Eukaryota, Metazoa, Chordata, Actinopteri, Centrarchiformes, Centrarchidae. The record is from RefSeq and is a predicted model, not a curated record. The transcript is spliced from 3 exons.